Long non-coding RNA from Juglans microcarpa x Juglans regia, 562 nucleotides. RefSeq lists it as uncharacterized. Lineage: Eukaryota; Viridiplantae; Streptophyta; Magnoliopsida; Fagales; Juglandaceae. The transcript has 3 exons. The record is from RefSeq and is a predicted model, not a curated record.
GGGCAAUUGAUAGAUAUACGUUAAUUCAUAAUUGUAGGGAUUAGGUUUUCGCAGUCACAGGCUCCUCCUCCUCCUCGUCUGUUCUCUGUCGCUGCUCGCACGCACAGAUCCGAAGGAAAUAAUUACCAGUUUCCGAUGGCGCCUCCUCCAGGACCCUAUUCCGGAACCAGCACCCUUGCUUUGGUGGCUCGUGCUUCGGCCUUCUCUAUUGGACUCGUUUACGGCAGCCUUAAACUCAAGUACCUCAAGGCAAAGGCCAAAUCUCAUAAGAAAGCUGAGGCAAAGGCUCAUCACUGAAGGGAAUAGGCAUCCAGUAACGAUGGAAUUAAGGCAUGUUUGCUGUUGGGAAUAGAAAUAAUGCAUGAUAAUGGACUGAACCAUUUUUUCAUCUUUUCUUAGAAACAUUCUGGAUUAUGACACACAGAUUAUGGCUGCUUGAGUUUUCUAUGAGCCAUUGUUAACUUAGUUAUCUGAUAUCUCUUAAUAUAGUCACCUUGGCAAUCUUCACGGCAUUUCAGUUUCUAUUGCUUUGUGAAGGCCUAGGGAAAUACUCUGAUGAUUA